Molecule: long non-coding RNA, 812 nt
Filed under: Homo sapiens (human)
Lineage: Eukaryota; Metazoa; Chordata; Mammalia; Primates; Hominidae
Description: HSALNT0150676
Source: RNAcentral
CUCACCAGAGCAUUCACGGGAGCAAUUCUCCCUCCCCACCCCUGACACCUGCCAUGGAAAAUGCUGCAUUAUUCAUUGGGGAGCUAAUGGCAGGUGAUGAGAUCUUUUCACGCUACAUCCCUCUCAGUAGGUGUUUAUCACUCUGUUCCCCAGCAGCCCUGCUAUUACUGAGGGGCCAGAAGAACCCUACACACUCGCUUGAAAGGUGAAGAUUCAUGUAUUGCUUGGACACUUUAGAGUAUUCUUUUGUCAUCCAUAUGAGUAACAAGGACCUACAGGAAUCAGCUGCUGAUACGGCCUUGUGUGUUCUGCAUUCUCCUCAAAAGCCAGGUAGGGAAAUAUAUUCAAGACAAGCUGGUGGAAAGGUUCAUCUUUCCUCUGUGUAUCAGAAACGACAGAUUUGGUGACCUUCCACCAAUUUGGUGAGAGUGAAGGCAAAUUCAACGACAGACUUUACAUCAUUAAUGAAGUCAGCAUGAACUUGACAAGUACUUUGAAAAAUGUUUAAUUCAAUGAUAAAGAGCCUGCCCAAGAGUUUAAAAUACAAUAAAAACAAGAACGUACAUCAAUUGUUGAUCCCAUCUGAUGGCAGUCUGUCCUUGAGCAUAUAGCUAAAAGGAUUUUCUCUGUAUCAAGUGGCACAACUACGGUGGACAUUCUGGAAACCAGAGCUGCUUUGUACUUGACCCAGCACUUGAAGAAGCUGCAGGAGGAGACUCGACAGGAGCAGAGGGAGGCGUGUGCUCAGAGCAAGAGUUGGGCCGUCACAGAACAGCAGCAUAUGAGGAGGAGGAAAGGUACUGCCACUGAAC